This 870-nucleotide ribosomal RNA is filed under the name Entoloma luridum. Its description in RNAcentral is "eukaryotic LSU rRNA". It matches the Rfam family "Eukaryotic large subunit ribosomal RNA", at positions 70 to 919 of the family's 3401-position model. Lineage: Eukaryota; Fungi; Basidiomycota; Agaricomycetes; Agaricales; Entolomataceae. The record is from RNAcentral.
CAGAAUUUCCCCUAUAACUGCGAGUGAAGCGGGAAAAGCUCAAAUUUAAAAUCUGGUAGUCUGUUGGCUACCCGAGUUGUAAUCUAGAGAAGUGUUAUCCGCGCUGGACCAUGUACAAGUCUCCUGGAAUGGAGCGUCAUAGAGGGUGAGAAUCCCGUCUUUGACAUGGACUACCAGGGCUUUGUGAUACACUCUCAAAGAGUCGAGUUGUUUGGGAAUGCAGCUCUAAAUGGGUGGUAAAUUCCAUCUAAAGCUAAAUAUUGGCGAGAGACCGAUAGUGAACAAGUACCGUGAGGGAAAGAUGAAAAGAACUUUGGAAAGAGAGUUAAACAGUACGUGAAAUUGUUGAAAGGGAAACGCUUGAAGUCAGUCGCGUUGGCCAGGGAUCAAUCUUGCUUUUGUGCUUGGUGUAAUUUCUGGUUGAUGGGUCAGCAUCAGUUUUAACCAGUAGAAAAAAGUUAGGGAAAUGUGGCAUCUUCAGAUGUGUUAUAGUCCUUGAUUGUAUAUAUUGGUUGGGAUUGAGGUACUCAGCACGCCGCAAGGUCGGGUUUUUUUUAACCACGUYCGUGCUUAGGAUGCUGGCAUUAAUGGCUUUAAUCGACCCGUCUUGAAACACGGACCAAGGAGUCUAACAUACCUGCGAGUGUUUGGGUGGAAAACCCAAGUGCGUAAUGAAAGUGAAAGUUGGGAUCCUUGUCAUGGGGAGCACCGACGCCUGGACCAGACCUUCUGUGAUGGAUCCACGGUAGAGCAUGUAUGUUGGGACCCGAAAGAUGGUGAACUAUGCCUGAAUAGGGUGAAGCCAGAGGAAACUCUGGUGGAGGCUCGUAGCGAUUCUGACGUGCAAAUCGAUCGUCGAAUUUGGGUACA